UACGGAGGGUGCAAGCGUUACUCGGAAUCACUGGGCGUAAAGCGCAUGCAGGCGGUUAAAUAAGUUAGAAGUGAAAUCCUACAGCUCAACUGUAGAACUGCUUCUAAAACUGUUUAACUAGAGUCUGGGAGGGGAAGAUGGAAUUAGUAGUGUAGGGGUAAAAUCCGUAGAGAUUACUAGGAAUACCAAAAGCGAAGGCGAUCUUCUGGAACAGUACUGACGCUGAGAUGCGAAAGCGUGGGGAGCAAACAGG
This 253-nucleotide ribosomal RNA is filed under the name uncultured bacterium. RNAcentral describes it as "partial 16S ribosomal RNA". It matches the Rfam family "Bacterial small subunit ribosomal RNA", at positions 524 to 776 of the family's 1533-position model. The record is from RNAcentral.